UACGUAGGUGGCAAGCGUUGUCCGGAAUUACUGGGCGUAAAGGGCGCGUAGGCGGUCUUGUAAGUCAGAUGUGAAAGCCCCGGGCUCAACCCGGGAAUAGCAUUUGAUACUGCGGGGCUUGAGUCCGGGAGAGGAUGGCGGAAUUCCCAGUGUAGAGGUGAAAUUCGUAGAUAUUGGGAAGAACACCGGUGGCGAAGGCGGCCAUCUGGACCGGUACUGACGUUGAGGCGCGAAAGCGUGGGGAGCAAACAGG
RNAcentral lists this ribosomal RNA (253 nucleotides) under uncultured bacterium. Its description in RNAcentral is "partial 16S ribosomal RNA". It matches the Rfam family "Bacterial small subunit ribosomal RNA", at positions 524 to 776 of the family's 1533-position model. The record is from RNAcentral.